This 413-nucleotide ribosomal RNA is filed under the name uncultured bacterium. RNAcentral describes it as "bacterial SSU rRNA". It matches the Rfam family "Bacterial small subunit ribosomal RNA", at positions 917 to 1333 of the family's 1533-position model. The record is from RNAcentral.
GGACCCGCACAAGUAGUGGAGCAUGUGGUUUAAUUCGAAGAUACGCGCAGAACCUUACCAGGGCUUAAAUGUAGUCUGACAGGGGUGGAAACACCCCCUCCUUCGGGCAGAUUACAAGGUGCUGCAUGGUUGUCGUCAGCUCGUGCCGUGAGGUGUCAGGUUAAGUCCUAUAACGAGCGCAACCCCUGCCGUUAGUUGCCAGCAUGUAAUGAUGGGAACUCUAACGGGACUGCCGGUGCAAACCGCGAGGAAGGUGGGGAUGACGUCAAAUCAUCACGGCCCUUACGUCCUGGGCUACACACGUGCUACAAUGGCCGGUACAGAGGGCAGCCACACCGCAAGGUGGAGCGAAUCCUUAAAACCGGUCUCAGUUCGGAUCGGGGUCUGCAACUCGGCCCCGUGAAGCUGGAAUC